GCGCACCAGGCGAGAAUACUUUACAAUGUGCGAAAGCACGAUAAGGGAACUCUGAGUGCCUCCUAAGGAGGCUGUUCUGAUGUCUAAGAAGCAACAGAAGUAAGGGCUGGGUAAGACCGGUGCCAGCCGCCGCGGUAACACCGGCAGCCCAAGUGGUAGCCACGUUUAUUGGGUCUAAAGCGUUCGUAGCCGGCCAGGUAAGUUCCUUGGUAAAUUUAGCCGCUUAACGGUUAAGCUUUCAGGGAAUACUGCUUGGCUUGGGACUGGGGAGAGGUCAGAGGUACUCCGGGGGUAGGGGUGAAAUCUAUUAAUCCCUGGGGGACCACCGGUAGCGAAGGCGUCUGACCAGACCAGGUCCGACGGUGAGGGACGAAGGGCUAGGGGCGCGAACCGGAUUA
RNAcentral lists this ribosomal RNA (398 nucleotides) under uncultured microorganism. RNAcentral describes it as "bacterial SSU rRNA". It matches the Rfam family "Archaeal small subunit ribosomal RNA", at positions 330 to 731 of the family's 1478-position model. The record is from RNAcentral.